GAGUUUGAUCCUGGCUCAGGAUUAACGCUGGCGGUACGUCUAAUACAUGCAAGUCGAACGAAGUUAUGGGUGCUUGCACUAAUAAUUUAGUGGCGAACGGGUGAGUAACACGUGGGUAAUCUGCCCUUAAGUUGGGAAUAACAUUCGGAAACGGAUGCUAAUUCCGAAUAACAGAUCUGGAGGCAUCUCUAGAUUUUGAAAGGAGCCUUUAAAGCUUCGCUUGAGGAGGAGCCCGCGGCGCAUUAGCUAGUUGGUGAGGUAACGGCCCACCAAGGCAAUGAUGCGUAGCCGGACUGAGAGGUUGAACGGCCACAUUGGGACUGAGAACGGCCCAAACUCCUACGGGAGGCAGCAGUAGAGAAUCUUCGGCAAUGGGGGCAACCCUGACCGAGCGAUACCGCGUGAAUGAAGAAUUACUUUUAGUAUGUAAAGUUCUUUUAUUUAGGAGAAACGAUAGGUAGAGGAAAUGCUACCUAGAUGAUAGUACUGAAUGAAUAAGCCCCGGCUAACUAUGUGCCAGCAGCCGCGGUAAUACAUAGGGGGCGAGCGUUAUCCGGAAUUAUUGGGUGUAAAGGGUGCGUAGGCGGAAAGUUAAGUUUGAAGUUUAAAUUAAGUGCUCAACGCUUAAUCGCUUCAAAAACUGGCUAUCUAGAGUAAGGCAGAGGCAAGUGGAAUUCCAUGUGUAGUGGUAAAAUGCGUAAAUAUAUGGAGGAACACCAGUGGCGAAGGCGGCUUGCUGGGCCUAAACUGACGCUCAGGCACGAAAGCGUGGGGAGCAAACAGGAUUAGAUACCCUGGUAGUCCACGCCGUAAACGAUGAAUACUAGGUGUUUGGGGAAACCUAAGUGCCGCAGUUAACGCAGUAAGUAUUCCACCUGAGUAGUACGUGCGCAAGCAUAAAACUCAAAGGAAUUGGCGGGACCUCGCACAAGCGGUGGAUCAUGUUGUUUAAUUCGUGGAUACGCGAUGAACCUUACCAGGUCUUGACAUCCAGGGCAAUGAGUAUAGAAAUAUAUUCGGAGGUAUUCCCUGAGACAGGUGGUGCAUGGUUGUCGUCAGCUCGUGUCGUGAGAUGUUAGGUUAAGUCCUGUAACGAGCGCAACUCCUAUUGCUAGUUACCAUCAUUUAGUUGGGUACUUUAGCAAGACUGCCAAUGACAAAUUGGAGGAAGGUGGGAAUGACGUCAAAUCAUCAUGCCCUUUAUGGCCUGGGCUACAAACGUGAUACAAUGGUUGAGACAAAGGGAAGCGAAGUAGUGAUAUGGAGCAAAUCCCAUAAAGCCAAUCUCAGUUCAGAUUGAAGUCUGCAACUCGACUUCAUGAAGAUGAAAUCGCUAGUAAUCGUAGAUCAGAACGCUACGGUGAAUACGUUCUCGAGGUUUGCACACACCGCCCGUCAAACCACGAAAGUUAGUAAUACCCAAAACCGGUGGCCUAACCCGUAAGGGAGGGAGCCGACUAAGGUAGGGCU
RNAcentral lists this ribosomal RNA (1470 nucleotides) under Acholeplasmatales bacterium feline oral taxon 303. Its description in RNAcentral is "bacterial SSU rRNA". It matches the Rfam family "Bacterial small subunit ribosomal RNA". Lineage: Bacteria; Bacillati; Mycoplasmatota; Mollicutes; Acholeplasmatales. The record is from RNAcentral.